GACAUGUGCUGUUAAGGGUGAAGGCCUCUCUGAGGGCAUGGACUGGUUGAGUAAUACUCUCAAGUCAGGGGGUGGCUAACUUUGUCAGAGGAAGUGCAUGCUUGGAGUGAUCUUAAUUGUUAUUGCCAUUGAUUUAUGCUUGGCUUGCAUUCAUUCCUUGUCAUGCUCUUUCUUCUUAUUGUCCUUUUCAUUUAUGGAGGUUUUAG
RNAcentral lists this unclassified non-coding RNA (206 nucleotides) under Hevea brasiliensis (rubber tree). The record is from RNAcentral. Lineage: Eukaryota; Viridiplantae; Streptophyta; Magnoliopsida; Malpighiales; Euphorbiaceae.